ACGCUAGCGGCAGGCCUAAUACAUGCAAGUCGAACGAUAUUAAGGGGCUUGCUCCUUAAGAAAGUGGCGCACGGGUGCGUAACGCGUAUGCAACCUACCUUAAUCAGGGGGAUAGCCCGAAGAAAUUCGGAUUAACACCGCAUAAAAACACAGGAUAGCAUUAUCCAAUGUUCAAAUAUUUAUAGGAUUAAGAUGGGCAUGCGUGUCAUUAGCUAGUUGGCGGGGUAACGGCCCACCAAGGCGACGAUGACUAGGGGAUCUGAGAGGAUGACCCCCCACACUGGUACUGAGACACGGACCAGACUCCUACGGGAGGCAGCAGUAAGGAAUAUUGGUCAAUGGAGGCAACUCUGAACCAGCCAUGCCGCGUGCAGGAAGACUGCCCUAUGGGUUGUAAACUGCUUUUAUCCGGGAAUAAACCUUUCUACGUGUAGAGAGCUGAAUGUACCGGAAGAAUAAGGAUCGGCUAACUCCGUGCCAGCAGCCGCGGUAAUACGGAGGAUCCAAGCGUUAUCCGGAUUUAUUGGGUUUAAAGGGUGCGUAGGCGGCCUGUUAAGUCAGAGGUGAAAGACGGUAGCUCAACUAUCGCAGUGCCUUUGAUACUGAUGGGCUUGAAUGAACUAGAGGUAGGCGGAAUGAGACAAGUAGCGGUGAAAUGCAUAGAUAUGUCUCAGAACACCGAUUGCGAAGGCAGCUUACUAUGGUUUUAUUGACGCUGAGGCACGAAAGCGUGGGGAUCAAACAGGAUUAGAUACCCUGGUAGUCCACGCCCUAAACGAUGAAUACUCGCUGUUAGCGAUAUACAGUUAGCGGCUAAGCGAAAGCGUUAAGUAUUCCACCUGGGGAGUACGCUCGCAAGAGUGAAACUCAAAGGAAUUGACGGGGGCCCGCACAAGCGGAGGAGCAUGUGGUUUAAUUCGAUGAUACGCGAGGAACCUUACCCGGGCUUGAAAGUUAGUGAAUUAUUCAGAGAUGAAUAAG
RNAcentral lists this ribosomal RNA (981 nucleotides) under Pedobacter sp. RNAcentral's name for it is "bacterial SSU rRNA". It matches the Rfam family "Bacterial small subunit ribosomal RNA", at positions 33 to 1014 of the family's 1533-position model. The record is from RNAcentral. Lineage: Bacteria; Pseudomonadati; Bacteroidota; Sphingobacteriia; Sphingobacteriales; Sphingobacteriaceae.